This 440-nucleotide ribosomal RNA is filed under the name uncultured bacterium. RNAcentral describes it as "partial 16S ribosomal RNA". It matches the Rfam family "Bacterial small subunit ribosomal RNA", at positions 338 to 795 of the family's 1533-position model. The record is from RNAcentral.
CCUACGGGUGGCAGCAGUGGGGGAUAUUGCACAAUGGGGGAAACCCUGAUGCAGCGACGUCGCGUGAGUGAAGAAGUAUUUCGGUAUGUUAAGCCCUAUCAGCAGGGAAGAAAAUGACAGUACCUGACCAAGAAGCACAGGCUACCUACGUGCAAACAGCCGCGGUAAUACGUCGGGGGCAAGCGUUAUCCGGAUUUACUGGGUGUAAAGGGAGCGUAGACGGUUAUGUAAGUCUGGAGUGAAAGCCCGGGGCCCAACCCCGGGACUGCGUUGGAAACUGUGUAACUGGAGUACAGGAGGGGCAGGCGGAAUUCCUGGUGUAGCGGUGAAAUGCGUAGAUAUCAGGAAGAACUCCGGCGGCGAAGGCGGCCUGCUGGACUGAAACUGACGUUGAGGCUCGAAAGCGUGGGGAGCAAACAGGAUUAGAUACCCGUGUAGUC